GCCGGACAUGGUGGUACGUGCUUGCAGUUCCAGCUACUUGGGAGGCUGAGGCGGGGUGGAUCCCUUGGGUCCAGGGGUCCAGGGGUCCAGGAUUGUAGUGCGCUAUGCUCAUCAUGUGUCCUCACUAAGUUCAGCAUCAAUAUGUGACCUCCUGGAAGCAGGGGACUGCUGGAUUGCAUAAGGAAGCGUGAACUGGCCCAGGUCAGCAAUGAAGCUGGUCUAAACUCCCAUGCUGAUCGGUAGAGGGAUGGUGUCUGGGAAUAGCCACUGCACUCGAGACUGGGGCAACAUAGUGAUAUCCUGU
This 304-nucleotide signal recognition particle RNA is filed under the name Gorilla gorilla gorilla (western lowland gorilla). Its description in RNAcentral is "Metazoan signal recognition particle RNA". It matches the Rfam family "Metazoan signal recognition particle RNA". Rfam says of the family: The signal recognition particle (SRP) is a universally conserved ribonucleoprotein. It is involved in the co-translational targeting of proteins to membranes. The record is from Rfam by way of RNAcentral. Lineage: Eukaryota; Metazoa; Chordata; Mammalia; Primates; Hominidae.